GUGCGACAAAUCUGGCGCUGUCCCCUUCAGCACCACGCGGAGUCCGCGCCGCCCCUCCCCGCGCUCAGCUGGGCCCAGCCUCUCCUCUGUCUCUCCUCGGUCCCAGCUCUGGGCGAGCAGCGGCCUGUCUGAAGAGCAUGCAGCCCCCUUACUCCCCGCCUGGCCUCGCCAUCCCUGCCCCCCCAGCCUGACCCCCGGCCCCAGCAUGGCCCAGGGUGCCAUGCGCUUCUGCUCGGAAGGCGACUGUGCCAUCUCCCCACCACGAUGCCCACGCCGCUGGCUCCCCGAAGGCCCGGUGCCCCAGAGCCCCCCAGCCAGCAUGUAUGGCAGCACAGGCUCCUUGCUACGGCGAGUGGCAGGUCCAGGUCCUCGAGGCCGGGAACUGGGACGUGUGACAGCACCCUGUACACCUCUGCGUGGCCCCCCCUCACCCCGUGUUGCUCCCUCACCCUGGGCACCCUCUUCACCCACUGGGCAGCCCCCACCCGGGGCCCAGAGCUCCGUGGUCAUCUUCCGCUUUGUGGAGAAGGCCAGUGUGAGGCCACUGAAUGGGCUACCUGCUCCAGGAGGCUUGAGUCGGAGCUGGGAUC
RNAcentral lists this small RNA (590 nucleotides) under Pongo abelii (Sumatran orangutan). RNAcentral's name for it is "processed transcript". The record is from RNAcentral. Lineage: Eukaryota; Metazoa; Chordata; Mammalia; Primates; Hominidae.